This 468-nucleotide ribosomal RNA is filed under the name uncultured bacterium. Its description in RNAcentral is "partial 16S ribosomal RNA". It matches the Rfam family "Bacterial small subunit ribosomal RNA", at positions 28 to 507 of the family's 1533-position model. The record is from RNAcentral.
GACGAACGCUGGCGGCGUGCCUAACACAUGCAAGUCGAACGGACAGGCCCUGCUUUUGCUGGGUUGUCGAGUGGGGCACGGGUGUGUAACACGCGAGUAACCCCCCCCUGUCUUUCGGGUAACAUUUGGGAACACGGGCUCAUACCCGGUAGGAUCUCCUGCUCCACGGGGGGGGUUGGAAAGGUUCGGUGGUUGGGGCUGGACUCGCGGGUUAUUCGCUUGUUUGUGGGGUUGGUGCUUUCCAAGGUUUUGAAGGGUAGCCGGCCUGAGAGGGUGGACGGCCACAUUGGGACUGAGAUACGGCCCAGACUCCUACGGGAGGCAGCAGUGGGGAAUAUUGCGCAAUGGGCGGAAGCCUGAUGCAGCAACGCCGCGUGCGGGAUGACGGCCUUCGGGUUGUAAACCGCUUUCGCCUGUGACGAAGCGUGAGUGACGGUAAUGGGUAAAGAAGCACCGGCUAACUACGUG